GAUGAAGAACGUAGCGAAAUGCGAUACUUGGUGUGAAUUGCAGAAUCCCGUGAACCAUCGAGUCUUUGAACGCAAGUUGCGCCCGAAGCCAUUAGGCCGAGGGCACGCCUGCCUGGGCGUCACACGUCGUUGCCCCCCCAUCUACUCCUUCGGGAUUGCGGGGGGCGGAUGAUGGCCUCCCGUGCGCCUCGCCGCGCGGUUGGCAAAAAUGCCAAGUCCUCGGCGACGCACGCCACGACAAUCGGUGGUUGCGAAACCUCGGUUGCCCGUCGUGUGCGGUCGUCGCGCAUCGAGGGCUCGAAAAAAUUGCCGGGUUCCGGCUCGGCUUUCAACGCGACCCCAGGUCAGGCGGGGUUACCCGCUGAAUUUAAGCAUAUCAAUAAGCGGAGGA
Molecule: unclassified non-coding RNA, 391 nt
Filed under: soil metagenome
Description: partial contains 5.8S ribosomal RNA, internal transcribed spacer 2, and large subunit ribosomal RNA
Rfam family: 5.8S ribosomal RNA (bases 1-122)
Source: RNAcentral